Molecule: unclassified non-coding RNA, 374 nt
Filed under: Hevea brasiliensis (rubber tree)
Lineage: Eukaryota; Viridiplantae; Streptophyta; Magnoliopsida; Malpighiales; Euphorbiaceae
Source: RNAcentral
AAAGUUACAGUCAAAUGCAAAAUACUGGUGGAGAAGAUUCUAUGCAGAUUGUGUUUCAACUGAGCAAAAUAUUUACUCACCAGACAGUACAUUUAUGUUCUUCUUUUGAAUAUUUGGACCAAUAUUACAAAGUUUCAAACAGCCAUAAAUUUGGGGAUUUUUGUUGGACAGUGUAUCUUCAUCAUCUUUGAAUGGCCAGGCCCCUCCUAAUUACUUUUUUAUUUUACCUCAAUUACCUUUUUUAUUGAAAAGAGAAUGGCUUUUCCUUGUUUGGUUCAUGAUUCACCAUGAUUUCAUAAUAUAUGGUAUGAUUUCUCUCAUUAUUUGUAAAGAUUAUUCUUAAAAAAUAGUAGUUUUACCGUAACUUUUUAAAU